GUGGGGAAUAUUGGGCAAUGGGCGAAAGCCUGACCCAGCAACGCCGCGUGAGGGAAGAAGGUUUUCGGAUUGUAAACCUCUGUCCUUGGUGACGAAGGAAGUGACGGUAGCCAAGGAGGAAGCCCCGGCUAACUACGUGCCAGCAGCCGCGGUAAUACGUAGGGGGCGAGCGUUGUCCGGAAUGACUGGGCGUAAAGGGCGUGUAGGCGGCCGAUUAAGUCUGGAGUGAAAGUCCUGCUUUCAAGGUGGGAAUUGCUUUGGAGACUGGUUGGCUUGAGUGCGGAAGAGGUAAGUGGAAUUCCCAGUGUAGCGGUGAAAUGCGUAGAGAUUGGGAGGAACACCAGUGGCGAAGGCGACUUACUGGGCCGUAACUGACGCUGAGGCGCGAAAGCGUGGGGAGCGAACAGGAUUAGAAACCCGGGUAGUCC
Molecule: ribosomal RNA, 428 nt
Filed under: uncultured bacterium
Lineage: Bacteria
Description: partial 16S ribosomal RNA
Rfam family: Bacterial small subunit ribosomal RNA
Source: RNAcentral